This 738-nucleotide ribosomal RNA is filed under the name Wickerhamomyces sp. RNAcentral's name for it is "partial large subunit ribosomal RNA". It matches the Rfam family "Eukaryotic large subunit ribosomal RNA", at positions 87 to 885 of the family's 3401-position model. Lineage: Eukaryota; Fungi; Ascomycota; Saccharomycetes; Phaffomycetales; Wickerhamomycetaceae. The record is from RNAcentral.
CGGCGAGUGAAGCGGCAAUAGCUCAAAUUUGAAAUCUGGCGUCUUCGGCGUCCGAGUUGUAAUUUGAAGAAGGUAUCUUUGAGGCUGGCUCUUGUCUAUGUUCCUUGGAACAGGACGUCACAGAGGGUGAGAAUCCCGUGCGAUGAGAUGCCCAGUUUCGUGUAAAGUUCCUUCGACGAGUCGAGUUGUUUGGGAAUGCAGCUCUAAGUGGGUGGUAAAUUCCAUCUAAAGCUAAAUAUUUGCGAGAGACCGAUAGCGAACAAGUACUGUGAAGGAAAGAUGAAAAGAACUUUGAAAAGAGAGUGAAAAAGUACGUGAAAUUGUUGAAAGGGAAGGGCUUGAGGUCAGACUUGGUUUUACCAGGCCAGCAUCAGUUUGGGUGGCGGGAUAAUAACUAAGGAAAGUGGCACUGCUUCGGUAGUGUGUUAUAGCCUUGGUUGAUACCGCCUGCCUAGACUGAGGACUGCGUCUUUGACUAGGAUGCUGGCAUAAUGACCUUAAGCCGCCCGUCUUGAAACACGGACCAAGGAGUCUAACGUCUAUGCGAGUGUUUGGGUGUAAAACCCGUACGCGUAAUGAAAGUGAACGUAGGUGAGAGCCGUAAGGUGCAUCAUCGACCGAUCCUGAUGUCUUCGGAUGGAUUUGAGUAAGAGCAUAGCUGUUGGGACCCGAAAGAUGGUGAACUAUGCCUGAAUAGGGUGAAGCCAGAGGAAACUCUGGUGGAGGCUCGUAGCGGUU